GGUAUGUAGCUUAGUGGUAGAGUGCUUGCCUAAUAUGCAUGAAGUCCUGAGUUCGAUUCCUCAGUACCA
Molecule: transfer RNA, 69 nt
Filed under: Dipodomys ordii (Ord's kangaroo rat)
Lineage: Eukaryota; Metazoa; Chordata; Mammalia; Rodentia; Heteromyidae
Rfam family: tRNA
About the family: Transfer RNA (tRNA) molecules are approximately 80 nucleotides in length. Their secondary structure includes four short double-helical elements and three loops (D, anti-codon, and T loops).
Source: Rfam by way of RNAcentral